UCAUUCUCAAUUUUAGAAUUGGACGCCAUCUCCCCAUCACCCACCCCAAUCGGAAUUCUCUCCCAUAACCUCUAUCGAUCGUUUCCUUUGCUCGAUCCCAAUCCGCCAUACCCCAAACGGAAGGUCGUCUCCUCCCAUCGAUUUCUACCAUUUUACCACUGAUGGACCGCGGCAGAGUGACCGACGAACCACCACUGCACCAUUAGAUGAUCUAUCAUAACUGCUUGGUUCCUUAUUGCUCGACUCCUCAUCGCUUCAAUCAUAACUUCAUCCCUGAGCAGGAUGUGAAACAUCAUUUUCUGGAACAGGCAUUGGUACACUGCUAGACAAGUGAAAUUCCAAAGCCACUUGGUUGCAUUUUUUUUUAAAUGAGAUGAUUGUUGUGUUUUAGUAAUAAUGUAAAUGUCACAACUCCCAGACGUAUGAUGAACCCAAAUAGGUCAAAAUGUCUAGGCAAAACAUCUUUUGUUGUGCUCAACAGUUAAUAUUAAAGAGACCAGAUCAUAUGUUAGUUAACUUAUAUAGAUUAUUAUUGAGCGCGACCGUGUUCAAGUUCCUGUUGUUGGUGACUCGGGUAAUAACAUGUUGUACGCUUCUUUGAUAUUCAUGUUAAAUACUCAAAAUAAAUGCAUUAUGGCUCAUAUGUUAAGGUUCU
Molecule: long non-coding RNA, 655 nt
Filed under: Helianthus annuus (common sunflower)
Lineage: Eukaryota; Viridiplantae; Streptophyta; Magnoliopsida; Asterales; Asteraceae
Source: RNAcentral